This 253-nucleotide ribosomal RNA is filed under the name uncultured bacterium. RNAcentral describes it as "partial 16S ribosomal RNA". It matches the Rfam family "Bacterial small subunit ribosomal RNA", at positions 524 to 776 of the family's 1533-position model. The record is from RNAcentral.
UACGUAGGUGGCAAGCGUUACCCGGAAUUAUUGGGCGUAAAGCGCGCGCAGGUGGUUAAUUAAGUCUGAUGUGAAAGCCCACGGCUUAACCGUGGAGGGUCAUUGGAAACUGGUUGACUUGAGUGCAGAAGAGGGAAGCGGAAUUCCAUGUGUAGCGGUGAAAUGCGUAGAGAUAUGGAGGAACACCAGUGGCGAAGGCGGCUUCCUGGUCUGCAACUGACACUGAGGCGCGAAAGCGUGGGGAGCAAACAGG